CAGGAGGGUUGCUGGCCGGUUCGCAGAGCGGGGGCUGGCUUCUGUCGCCUCUCGCCUCGAUAAAACAUUUCUGCAGUAAAUCAUCCAUCCACUGCAAGGACAGCUGUUCUUCUUCAUGAGUUUGUUCAGAGUCUCUACUUUUUUGGAAUGGAUACCAUACAAUAUGUUACCUGCCUCCAAGCGCAGAGGAAGACACCUUUCUUCUAGACCUGAAGAAGGAUGCAGGAAAGCAUAAGGGCCUUAAUGCUGUCCUAUGAUUUUUGUAUUUUGUAGAUACCUGUGCUUAGGGAAGCAAAAGGUACCAAGUUCCCUGAAAACGGAUAAAUUGUUCACAAACUAUAGAGGUGUAUUGAGUAAUUUCAGAUGCUUUACUUUUCAGGCUGCUGAUGGCAUGGUCUAAGUUUUUAGGUGAUAGAAAUACCAGAUUGGAAGGAAUAUUAUGUAUAAGAUAUUUUCACAUAUGCUAAUGUGCAACCAAGUCAAAGCUGAGUAAGACUGCCAAGCAGUCUGAAUUGUACUAAUUCACUGAUCAACAUGGGCUUUCAGUAGCUGGACCUGUUGAGCCACCAUCGGUACUUGGAUUCAGACAUGAAGAAAUGUAGAUAUUUUAGACCUCGUGUUUAUAUUGAAGUAUCUGUUAGAGACCUUAAUCAGGAUUUGGGUGUUUCUCUGCCCUGUUCAGACACUUACCAAAACUACAGUCAUUCACUGAUGAUAAUUUGCUUUGAAAACUCCAAAAGAAAACAAGAUGUAUGGAAUUGUGCACAUGUAGAAGCAUCAAGACAUGUGGCAACACUUUUUAUGCCUUUAUCCAAGUGUUUCAGAAUGAUUUACAAGCAUUAAUUAAUAAUCACUUCGGCAGCGUAAUGCCUUCUGCCCAUCCAGUAAAUAUUACCAAAACAGGGAUCUUUCUUAUCAGAGCGCUGCUAGGAAUAGAGGAUUUCGUCUCUGCCUUUGCUAUUUCCACGCUUACCACUGAAUCAAUAUUGUUUACGCAGAAACAGCAUUAUAGGACUUGCACUGUCUUGUCAGAAAAGAUCAUCCAACUAGAGCUUCCUGAUGCUUUCAGACACUACAUUGUCUCUCAAAGUUUGUUGUGUCACAGGUUCUUAUUAGUAUGAAAUUUAUCAUGUUAAUUUUGGUAUAUAAUACAUACUAAAUUAUAUUUUUCCAAAUAUUGUACUAUAUUUUGUGAUUUAUGUUGCACAGUUCUUUUUUCCAAGUGUCAUGAAAAGUCCAAGAGGAAUUCUUAAAUGUCUAAUCUAUAUUAUGAGAACAAGGUUCUGUCAGGUUUUCAUUCUCAGACUAUGAUAUAAUAAUACUGAUUUAUACACCCCUUCAUAAACAAAUUAUGUUAAUCACAGAAACCAGAGUGUCGCAACAUAAAAAUGUUCUCAUGUUUAUUUUACAUGAAUUCUUAAAAGGUAUGGCAACUAUCAUCUUUUGCUACAGUGUCCUGAAAAUGUUGCAAUGUGUAGGAAAUAACACUAGUUUUUAAAGAAUAUAUCUUUCCUACUUGUUUUGAGAGUACAUCUAUAUGCAUGUGUGUGUAUAAAUAAUAAAAUGGCAC
This is a long non-coding RNA of Apteryx rowi (Okarito brown kiwi), 1570 nucleotides long. Lineage: Eukaryota; Metazoa; Chordata; Aves; Apterygiformes; Apterygidae. The record is from Ensembl.